RNAcentral lists this ribosomal RNA (426 nucleotides) under Teyl sp. MYG636. Its description in RNAcentral is "partial 16S ribosomal RNA". It matches the Rfam family "Bacterial large subunit ribosomal RNA", at positions 1834 to 2597 of the family's 2925-position model. Lineage: Eukaryota; Metazoa; Arthropoda; Arachnida; Araneae; Anamidae. The record is from RNAcentral.
UGAAAGAAAAAAUUUUCAGUAACUCCUGCUCAAUGAACCUAAAUAGCCGCAGUCAUCUGUGCUAAGGUAGCAUAAUCACUUGCCUAAUAAUUAUAGGAUAGAAUGAAAGGAUGUACAAGUGAGCUCCUUUAUUAAAAUGAGAUUUUUAAUUUAAUUAAUAAGUAAAAAUUCUUAUUUCCAUUAGGGGGACGACAAGACCCUGUUAAACUUUACAUUCUUGUUUAGCUGGGGCGGCAACAAAACUAUAACUUUUUUCCCCUUUAAUAACUCAACUUUUAUUAAGAACCACCAAGUUACUACAGGGAUAACAGCAUAAUUCUCUCAUGAAGACCUUAUAAAAGAGAGAGUUUGUGACCUCGAUGUUGAAUUAAGGCCCUAAUAGAAGCAGUAUUCUAAAAAGGAAGUCUGUUCGACUUUUUAUUCCUU